Long non-coding RNA from Pseudophryne corroboree (corroboree frog), 355 nucleotides. RefSeq lists it as uncharacterized. NCBI's taxonomy places the organism in Eukaryota, Metazoa, Chordata, Amphibia, Anura, Myobatrachidae. The record is from RefSeq and is a predicted model, not a curated record. The transcript is spliced from 2 exons.
UCUAUCCUAUCCUUACCGCUGCGUCUACCUAAGAGGAGCGGGAGCUGCCAGCAUGGUGAGUGGGAGAGAGACCACCGGGCACAAGCACACGGCUGCACAACUGUCCGCUCCCUACAGACAACUUUCUCACACUUUUGACAGCCAUAGCAGAACUCAAUCAGGGAUGGAAAUGACACUCACUGGCAGCAUCCUGCAGUGUGGUAGAGGAACAAAUUUCCAAAGAGCACUGGAUGUAGAGCAUGAAACAUAUGGAACAUGUAGAUGGUCUGUCCAGUGCACAACAAGGUGUACACCUACACUCCGCUCUCAGGAGAUGCCUGUUUUGCUAGUGAUUAUUGAAUAAACAUUUUAAAUU